UACGUAGGCGGCGAGCGUUGUUCGGAGUUACUGGGCGUAAAGCGUGCGUAGGCGGUGUCUUAAGUUUGUUGUGAAAUCUCCCGGCUUAACCGGGAGGGUGCGGCGAAUACUGAGAUGCCGGAGUGCCGGAGAGGUAAGCGGAAUUCCUGGUGUAGCGGUGAAAUGCGUAGAUAUCAGGAGGAACACCUGCGGUGUAGACGGCUUACUGGACGGUAACUGACGCUGAGGCACGAAAGCGUGGGUAGCAAACAGG
This 253-nucleotide ribosomal RNA is filed under the name uncultured bacterium. Its description in RNAcentral is "partial 16S ribosomal RNA". It matches the Rfam family "Bacterial small subunit ribosomal RNA", at positions 524 to 776 of the family's 1533-position model. The record is from RNAcentral.